AAGUCACUCACAACCUCUUUUGGAGUAGGUGCACCUGCGCGUAUCCAUUCUGUCAGACAAUGUGUUAUGGCAUUAACAUCAUGUCUCUCUGACAGCAUUUUCACCACUGGGACACUUGAGCUCUCACCCCCUGCCACAACAACCUGAUAAAGGAAUAUAUGGCCAGACUUGCCAUUUGGUCUCUGUAGUUUCCUCACCAAUGAGCCAGUUGCAUCAAAACUCACAGUGGGGGUGGCCAAAUUAGGCAGAUGACUUGGCUCAGGAUCUCCAAAAUCCAUCAGCUUUAUUGCCUCUGAUGCCCUCCAUACAUGGGGUUCCUUUCUACCUUCACACAGUUCUUUGGAUAUCUGCACACGCAAGUUACCAGACAUCGGACGUUUGGAACAGCCAGUGUGCAGGGAGUCAUCAGUGUUUUUAAGCAAAUACCUGAACAUCAUUGUGCUGUUUAUUUCAGGCUUUUUGUCACAUUUUAUGUGAAUUUGGCCACGACACUCCUUACAGUUGCCUCUGAUUACAAUAUAUUUGUCUGUGACUGAUGGAUAGACCUUGGCUCUUUUAAAAGUAAAUGUGCAGGGACAUUUCACUUCUUGUCAAAUGUGAUGAUUUAUCACAUGCGUCCAGAUACCUUUUUUUUUGUUUUAGAGAACUUGUUUUUGUAUGUCACUGUUUCAGGCAUAAAUUCAAUCCAUUUCUGAAAUGGAACUUCAAAAUCAAAAGUGCAGAAAUCUUUUGGACUGGAGGAAAGGGACCCUGGCUCAAAAUUAGUGUCAUCACUACUGCCACUUGUUUCAUGAUCACUUUCAUGAGUAAACCCUAAAGCCUUCCAGAUGUUGUGUCUGUUUAAUUUAACAAAAGUGUAUAGUGCCUUUGCAGUGAUCUUGUUGUCUAGCUGUUUACUAAGCUCUGUCCAGAUGCUCUCAUUAGGAGUAGCUAUGUUGCCAUUUUGGAUUAUGGCCUCUUUUGAUGAACACAGGACUGUGAAAAUGGAAUCCCUGUCGACUGCUGGUUUCUUGGGCAUCUGGCAUAAGCAAAACAUAAUUACCCUCAAUUAUUCUGAUUCCAAAAAAUAUCAUGUACAGCAUAAAUUUGUUUUAAUAUAUUACUGUAUUGGUCUGAAUAUAAUGAUCAUAUAAUAUAGUAAGGAUAAUGUAGAUGGAUAAUAUAUCUUAUAUUAGGACCAAAUGGUAAUGUUGACCCCUAGAUUGUCAUUUUUUAUUGAACUGAAAAUUCAUUGCUAACACUAUCACUAAUUUAGCUAUGAAAUGUUAAAUACAGUUGCACCCAUGGUCGUUUUUUAAUACUAAAAUGAAACUUUGUGCAACUGUAAAUAGCAUUCCAUAGCUAAAUUAGUAAUAGAAGUGUUAUUAUUGAGGUUUCUGUUCAAUAACAAGGUUAGCUCUCUUGAAUGUUGUACAAUAAUCUUGCAGCUACUAGUAUUGUAACAGACAGUUUUAAAACAAUGUAUACAUACAUUGUUCAGAAAUUUGGAUUAGUAACGACUUUUGUAGUUUGAUUUAUAUCGACCUUUUCUCCACUAACUCUACACAAUUUUAUACAAGAGCAUUCUUGAAUGGAAGUGUCACUUGCCCCUAGUGGUGGGAGUGGAGUGUAGCAGAUGAGACUCGUAAAAAUGAAAUGCAAUCACAAGACACUGAAGUGAGGAUAAUUGUUUAUUGAACAAAUUAUGUGAUGACAGAACGUCUUCGUCAAUUCUACUUUAAAAGUGUGCUCACCUCGAGGAUAGUUUAGCUGUUUUCUUGCCCACAAAUGCUGAAGUUACAUUUAAACUACGAUGGCACACGCGCACAAAUCCAUUUUGCUCAUAGAGUAGCAGAAGAUAAGAGUGACAUAGGCCUAAUAAAAGAAAAACAUUGUUUUUAUUAAACACUACAGGACUACAAAAAACCUGAUAAGAAAUUGCAUGAUGUUCUAUUAAAUCAUCUUUAUUAGCAUCUAACAUUUUAGAGAUUGAAUAGACAAAACCGAAAUAAAAUGCUCAUAGGCUAUAGGCUACUGACUAACUACAAACCAAAAUACAGAGCUGUCUGACUAUUUUUGAUCUUGUGACCAUUGAUUUAUCUAUUUUAUUCAGUGAGCCUUGUUUGUAGCCUAUAGGCCUAAAUAUUAAUUUGAUUACAUUUUAAAACCCAACGCGGCACAAACGAAACUUUUACCGUCACAAACCAGCACAAACGAAGCACAAACGAACAAGAUUAUUUUAGGUGAAUUUGGAGAAUGUGGGGGGGCUGGUGACGUCAUCGUCUAUAAUUCAAUGUCUAAUAUUUUAAAACCCAAAGCAGCACAAACGAAACUUUUACCGGCACAAACCAGCACAAACGAAGCACAAACGAUCGAGAUUAUUUUGGGUGAAUUUGGAGAAUGUGGGGGGGGCUGGUUGACCUCAGAUUGACCUAAAAAUAUUAUUGUAAUAUCUAAAAUACCGAAGCAGCACAAACGAAACUUUUUACUGCACAAACCAGCACAAACGUAGCACAAACGAACAAGCAUAGUUUGACGACGUUUUGCGUUGGUGGGGGGGCCAACUUCACGCAGGUCACACACCUGCCACAUGCCCAUAUCUCUGGCACUGAUAGCAUCUCAAAGGGGGUCUGUCAUACUCUUUUACUGGGUAGCUCAUAAAACCCAACAUGACCCUCUUCAGUACCACAUCGUCUUUAAAUGAGAGAAGGAUAGGGAUAGUUCCUCUACCAUUCUCAUUUCUACCCAUAUGUUUUACAGCUACAACAUUACCACCUUUCAAACUAGUCAAUAUCUCUUGCUGACUGUAGAAAAUCCAGCCCCUCCUUUUACUUUAAUCAGAACUUUAAAUCCCUCAUCACUAUUUGGAAUAGGCCGUGUUGCUUUAACCUGUGGGUUUUCCAUAUCACUAUCCUGAGAAUUAUACCCUUGCUGUCUUUUGUGUUUUGUUUUAGGCCUACUCACUGUUCUCCAUUCCUCCGCACCCCCAUCCACUCCCCUGGGCAUGGGCUGACUGAGUUUGAGGUAUCCCCACCUGUGUGAGAAUGUAACGUCUAAACAAGGUUCACUGAAAGUUUUUCCUUUACAGAAAACUCACCACACGUCUACCUUUCCACUUUGAAUCUAUCUACUAAGUUUCCAACACACAACUCUCCGGUUACCGGAGACAAUAAGGACAAAGAAAUAAUUCAAUAAAUCAUACAUAUGACAUGUAUUACGGUGGAUGUCCAUCUGCUUCUUGGCUUUUCGCAUGAUUCACUCAUCGCUAGCUGCUUGUGGGUGUGUACACCAUUUUUGUAUUAAUGCCGGGAGUUCACGUUUACUAGCUCCUGUACAGCUAUUUAGUUACAGCUACAAAUAAGUAGUAACACAUGUAACACAUGUAGGGUACCCGAUUAUUAGGUUAAUGAAAAUCGAAAUUGCUCUAUAGGAAAUAUAGCAGCUGCUGUAGCUAUUACUAGUAAUAGUGUCAUAGGGGCUGGCUAUGUAGCUAAUGUUUGUGUAUUUGAUAAAGACGUGGCUUUAUAUAAUAGUACCAAAUGAAAUGUCUUCCAGCUUAUUAGAAGUAUUCCCAACCAAUGAUACAAAUGAUAACAUUUCCGCCCAUUUUGCUAUAGGAAUGAUUGUAUGGUAUAGACUAUUGUGAAUGGAAACAGAGGAGGGUGGAAUGUUUUUUGUUGUUGUUGUUUUGUCUUAAGAUGCGAUGGUAGGAAUAAAACCAAGCACCCUUUAUACCCUGCUCAUUGUACGAUUGUCUCAUCAGUCUUACUAUGUUAUUGUUUUGGAUUAUUAUGUUUAUUUAUAUGUACUGUAUAUUGCAGUCGGUGACUCUUGAGUGUCCUUUGUUAAUUUUUUUUUUUAUGAGUAAGCACAUCAUGAGCCUGUAUAAUCCAGAGUCAAAUUCUUCAUGUGUACACAUACCUG
Molecule: long non-coding RNA, 3903 nt
Organism: Esox lucius (northern pike)
Lineage: Eukaryota; Metazoa; Chordata; Actinopteri; Esociformes; Esocidae
Source: Ensembl